Molecule: transfer RNA, 68 nt
Filed under: Simocephalus vetulus
Lineage: Eukaryota; Metazoa; Arthropoda; Branchiopoda; Diplostraca; Daphniidae
Description: tRNA-Leu
Rfam family: tRNA
About the family: Transfer RNA (tRNA) molecules are approximately 80 nucleotides in length. Their secondary structure includes four short double-helical elements and three loops (D, anti-codon, and T loops).
Source: RNAcentral
UCUAAUAUGGCAGAUUAGUGCAAUAGAUUUAAGCUCUAUAUAAAAGUGUGAGAAUCACUUUAUUAGAA